GGGUUGUGAGGUUAAGCGACUAAGCGUACACGGUGGAUGCCCUGGCAGUCAGAGGCGAUGAAGGACGUGCUAAUCUGCGAUAAGCGCCGGUAAGGUGAUAUGAACCGUUAUAACCGGCGAUUUCCGAAUGGGGAAACCCAGUGUGACUCGUCACACUAUCAUUAACUGAAUCCAUAGGUUAAUGAGGCGAACCGGGGGAACUGAAACAUCUAAGUACCCCGAGGAAAAGAAAUCAACCGAGAUUCCCCCAGUAGCGGCGAGCGAACGGGGAGGAGCCCAGAGCCUGAAUCAGCAUGUGUGUUAGUGGAAGCGUCUGGAAAGGCGCGCGAUACAGGGUGACAGCCCCGUACACAAAAGCGCAUGUGUUGUGAGCUCGAUGAGUAGGGCGGGACACGUGGUAUCCUGUCUGAAUAUGGGGGGACCAUCCUCCAAGGCUAAAUACUCCUGACUGACCGAUAGUGAACCAGUACCGUGAGGGAAAGGCGAAAAGAACCCCGGCGAGGGGAGUGAAAAAGAACCUGAAACCGUGUACGUACAAGCAGUGGGAGCACCCUUUGGGGUGUGACUGCGUACCUUUUGUAUAAUGGGUCAGCGACUUAUAUUCUGUAGCAAGGUUAACCGAAUAGGGGAGCCGGAGGGAAACCGAGUCUUAAUUGGGCGUUAAGUUGCAGGGUAUAGACCCGAAACCCGGUGAUCUAGCCAUGGGCAGGUUGAAGGUUGGGUAACACUAACUGGAGGACCGAACCGACUAAUGUUGAAAAAUUAGCGGAUGACCUGUGGCUGGGGGUGAAAGGCCAAUCAAACCGGGAGAUAGCUGGUUCUCCCCGAAAGCUAUUUAGGUAGCGCCUCGUGAAUUCAUCUCCGGGGGUAGAGCACUGUUUCGGCUAGGGGGCCAUCCCGGCUUACCAACCCGAUGCAAACUGCGAAUACCGGAGAAUGUUAUCACGGGAGACACACGGCGGGUGCUAACGUCCGUCGUGAAGAGGGAAACAACCCAGACCGCCAGCUAAGGUCCCAAAGUCAUGGUUAAGUGGGAAACGAUGUGGGAAGGCCCAGACAGCCAGGAUGUUGGCUUAGAAGCAGCCAUCAUUUAAAGAAAGCGUAAUAGCUCACUGGUCGAGUCGGCCUGCGCGGAAGAUGUAACGGGGCUAAACCAU
This 1157-nucleotide ribosomal RNA is filed under the name Salmonella enterica. Its description in RNAcentral is "partial 23S ribosomal RNA". It matches the Rfam family "Bacterial large subunit ribosomal RNA", at positions 1 to 1190 of the family's 2925-position model. Lineage: Bacteria; Pseudomonadati; Pseudomonadota; Gammaproteobacteria; Enterobacterales; Enterobacteriaceae. The record is from RNAcentral.